GAUGCAAGUUUAUCUGAAGUUCCAUCAGAUAUUGUUAAUAUGAAGAGAUUACUGCACAUCCGCCUUCGGAGCGAGUAUAUUUUGCCCAGUGUAGCUGCCCACAUGACAUCUCUUCGCACUCUGGGGUAUUUUGAUAUCGGCAGUCACUCAGAAGAGAAUGUAUUACAUCUUGGUCGGCUGACCAAUCUUCAGGAUCUUCAGCUCACAUGGUCUACAGUGGGGCCAGCAGAAAAACUGGCAAAGAAUGUGCAACUCCUAGGCUCGAUUCUCGAGAAACUCACCUUCUGUCAUUCCCUAACUCUGGUACCAGCUGCUUCAGGCUCCUCGUGUGUAAAUAUUCCUGAGGAUGGCUUCAGCAUGGGGUUUCCUCCUCCAGGCCUUCUUCUUCGCAGGAUGGAGUUGUCGUGGCGCUGUUGCGUCUUCUUCAGCCUCCCAAAGUGGUUUGAAGAGCUCAACAAACUCAGCAUUCUAAAGAUUGGAAUUAGAAGGCUGUUGAGGGAAGAUAUUGAUCUCCUGAAAGGACUGCCUGCCCUCACUGCUCUCAGCCUGUAUAUCCAGACAGUUCCUGCCCUCACUGCUCUCACCCUAUAUAUCCACACAAUUUCCGGAGGAUGCAUCGUCAUUGACAAGGGGGGGUUCCAAGCACUCACGUACUUCAAGUUCAUGUGCGCUGAACCAUGCCUGUUUUUUGUACAAGGAGCAAUGCCCAGAGUCCAAAAGCUCGUGAUAGGGUUCAAUUCAAGCAAAUGGAAACCACAUACCUUUGGAACUGCUGGCUUCUGUCACUUAACAGGCCUUACAGAGGUCUCUGUAAAACUUGGGACCUGGGGUACUGAUGAAUUGGACAUUAACGAUGCCGAGUCUAAAUUGGUGACCGCAGUUAGCAAUCACACGAAUUCUCCUAUAAGCAGAGUACAAUUCGUAGAUAUGAUUUCCUAUGGUGUGGAUGAUAAGAGAACUGCGACUGAAGAAAAACGUGGGGGCGGGGGUGUUGAUAAAUUCGGCAUGAAAGCUGCCAAGUCUGCAUCAUACUCUCGCAUAAGCAAUCACAUGAACUCUUCAAUAAACAGUUCACAAUGGUCUGAUGUGAUUUCUUGUGGCAGUGGGAAUAAGAGUAGCAUAGCUGAAGAAGUGGAGGAAAAGCUACACCAGAUUCGAGACCGACAGAAAAAGAAGAGGGAAAGAUCGGUGGAACAGCCAUCUGUUCUAUCUUUUUUUCCUGAAAAAGAAGUUGAAAAGCCAUAUGAAAUUGAAUAUCGCAAUAAAAAGAUCAAAUAUUUGGAGGAACGCGUGCACAAGCCAUUAGUAAAUACCAGAUAUGUGAGAAAAGAUGGUGCUUCCACUCCUCUGAAGCAUCGCACACAAUCAGCCAACCUUGUGACGGGUGCCUUUAGCUCCCUCCUCCCCAAGAUCCUGGAGCUCCUCAAUGACAAGUACGAUCUGCGGAUGGACAUAAAAAAAAACAUCGAGUCCCUCUACAAGGAGCUGGAGGGUAUGCAAGCUGUCCUCCAUGACUUGGCGAGGAGGGAACAGGCUCAACUGGAUGCUGUGGUCAUGAUCUGGGCCAAGGAAGUAAGAGACCUCUCGUAUAAUGUGGAGGAUAUGAUCGAUUCCUUAACAGGGGAAGAGAUAAGAGGCUUGUCCGAGAAGACCCCGUUCUUCUUCCUCGUGAACGACACUGACUUCAUCUAUGAGAACAGGGAAAAGGUCAUCAAUGAGAUCAGGGAAAAGGUCAAAGGUGUGGCCAGCCGACGUGAGAAGUACAAGGUUGAUGACCGGAUUGUUGCUGCUUAUCCAAAAGCCACAGAUAACGUUGAUCCUCCCCUGUUGGAUCUGUUCCAAGAGUCGGAAGAAGUUAUUGGCAUCGAAGCUCAAGUGGAAGAGGUGAUAAGGCAGCUGAAAGGACACGAUUGGGACAACAACAAUAACAAGCUGAAGAUAGUCUCCAUAGUUGGAAUGGCAGGAUCGGGCAAGACAACUCUUGCGAAAGCAAUUGCCAAAGCAGUUCCCAAAGAAGUGCUUCAUGAUACGGUUUUCGUUUCCGUAUCUCAGGAUCCCAACAUGAAGAGAGUUCUCAUGGACAUCCUCCUUCAAAUUGACGAGCGGGAGUACAGGAGUCUCACUGGAUCAACGUUCGAUGCAAAGCUGCUUAUAAAUAUAAUCCGGAGAGUAAUUGGGAGCAAGAGGUACUUCAUUGUUAUUGAUGAUAUAUGGGAUGUGAAGUCAUGGAAAUUUAUAAAGGAUGCUUUAGAUACUCGAUGUGGAAGUAGAGUAGUCAUAACCACAAGGCUUUUGGAAGUUGCUGUCAAUGCUGGUGAUGUUUACAAGCUAAAAGCACUUUCUCAUUCGCACUCUGGAGAAUUGUUUAAUACAAGAUUAUUUGGUGGCAAAGACAAUGUCCCUCGUGUCGUGCCGGAGGUACCUGAAAAGCUUUUACAGAAAUGUGGUGGUGUACCAUUAGCUAUCAUCACAAUGGCUAGUUUGUUUGCGAGGAAACCAAGGAACUAUUGCUCUAAGGUUUUUCCGGAGGACUAUUUAAUAACGGAAGAAACUUUGAUCUGGAAGUGGGCAGCCGAAGGUUUAAUUGUUGAGGAACCAGGAAGAGGGUUAUUUGAGAUUGGAGAUGGAUACUUCAAGGAACUCAUAGAUAGCAGCGUGGUCAUGCCAGUGGAGGAUGACUCAGAUUAUGGGACAAUUGUUGGUUGCCGUGUCCAUUACUUGGUUUUUGAUAUGAUCUGUUCCUUAUCAGCUAUAGAAAAUUUUGUUACCAUAGAGGAUGGAAGCAGUCAAUACUCUCUUAUUGAAAGCAAGCAGGCUCGCAGGUUAGGUAUCCAAAAGUGGACCACGGAGAACGGCGACCCUCUGGCUAACAUUGGCUCGAGAAGUCUGAGGUCAUUUAAUACCACGGGGUGUCGUUUUAGUGUGGAACUAUCACUUUCAAGGUUUAAGCUCUUGCGUGUCAUUGCUAUCGAAGAAUGCACAUUGCUUGAUGGCGAUCUUUCUCCUCUGGGGAAGUUAAUUUUGUUGAGGUACCUCGGACUAUAUCACACACUUAUCAAGAAGCUACCGGAAGACAUUGGUGAGCUAAUUUAUUUGCAGACACUGGACCUGAGGGGGACCAGGGUCCAUGGAUUGCCCUGGGAAGUUACUCAGAUAAGUCAGCUCAAGUGCCUGCGAGCUGAUGGAGACACAGCAAUGCCUUACGGGAUGGGAAAACUUACAUCCUUAGAAGAGCUGCGGCUGGGCGCGAUUGACACGUCGGCAGACUUUGUGGAUGGGUUGGGCAGACUGACAGAGCUGAGGGAGCUCGAGAUUCGGAUUAACCAGUUGGAUGUGAACGAGGCGGGAGCUUUGGUGCAGUCUCUGAAAAAACUAGAGAAAAUCCAAGUCCUAAGACUUGUGGGAUUUCCUUGGCCACCAUCUCGUGUUGACGAGCUCAACUGGGGAAACUUUGAUCCGCCUCAACAACUCCGUGAGUUGCAUCUAAGCAUCCCAUCCACUCGGCUGCCGGCGUGGGUUCACGUCUCCCGUGUUCCAAUGCUCUCACACUUAGUUGUGAGCCUCAAGUCUAAGGAGGAUCAGGAUUUGGAUAUUCUUGGUGCUUUGCCAGAGCUCAGUAGUCUGCAGCUGGUGCUGCCGUCGAAAGUGGUCCUCAGCAUCACUGGUCGUUCCGGUGCAUUCCCGAGGUUGAGAAAGUGGAAGUGGAAAUAACAUCCAAUGCUCUCUCCUUUGAGUCGAUGAAUGAGGUGAUGAAGCGUGCAGUGGACCAACAUCGAAACCAUCCCAGCCUUCGUGUCAUCAAAGUAGAUCAUGUACGUACAGAUAUCAAGGCAUUUUUUUU
Molecule: ribosomal RNA, 3841 nt
Filed under: Triticum aestivum (bread wheat)
Lineage: Eukaryota; Viridiplantae; Streptophyta; Magnoliopsida; Poales; Poaceae
Description: partial small subunit ribosomal RNA
Source: RNAcentral